CGCAGGCUGCAACCCGCCUGCGUGAAGUUGGAAUCGCUAGUAAUCGCGGAUCAGCAUGCCGCGGUGAAUACGUUCCCGGGCCUUGUACACACCGCCCGUCACACCAUGAGAGUCGGGAACACCCGAAGUCCGUAGCCUAACCGCAAGGGGGCGCGGCCGAAGGUGGGUUCGAUAAUUGGGGUGAAGUCGUAACAAGGUACC
Molecule: ribosomal RNA, 201 nt
Filed under: uncultured bacterium
Lineage: Bacteria
Description: partial 16S ribosomal RNA
Rfam family: Bacterial small subunit ribosomal RNA
Source: RNAcentral